AUGGAAAGGAGAGACAGACUCCUGUCAUCACAUACAGAAACCGGCAGGAUGAAAAACAUUAACCAAUCUGACCCAGAGCCAGCUGCCCUGACACUUGAAGGCUCUGCGGAAACUCCCCUCUGGGAAGGGAAGAGCACAGCUGAUUCCCCUGCUCCCCAGCACGCCCUGGUUCCGUCUCUUAGACACGGCUCCCUUCAGCUUUCAGCCCUGCUGCAAAACAGUCGAUGCCAUCUGUGCUCUCCACAGCCUAGUGCUUCCGAGGGCAGGCUUGCAGCCGGACCACCAAAGUUAAUCCUGGAACUGCGUGACCCUGGACUUGUUCUUAACCUCUCUGUGGCUCACUUCCUCCCCUCUCUAAAAACAAGGCUAAUCCAGGACUGCUGGAGAUGAGGGAGUUUCAAGUAAAGCACUUUGAACACAGUGACACACAGCAAUAAGUGACACACAGUAAUAAGAAUGUUAGCAUUCUUAUUACUAUAAGCCAUUCGUAUUUGGUUUCACCCCAGGCAACUUACUAUACAAUUGAUCCUCAAACACAGGCCCCUUUAAUCCUUGCCUUUGCCUGAUACUCUUCUCAAAUAUUCUGUCUCCACUGUUUCUACAAAUCCUCCCCACCUGUCACCACCUAGGGGAAGCCCUGCCUGCUCCCCAAGUUCUGCCCGUUGCAGCCUCCCAAAUCUCCUGCUACUGUCUGUAAUAAAUAUUUGACCAUCUCUACCGCUACCUGGAGCUUCCCAGGUGGUGUAGUGGUAAAGAAUCUGUCUGCCAACGCAAGAGAUGCAGGUUGGAUAUCUGGAUCGUGAAGAUCUCUUAGAGAAGGAAAUGGCAACCAACUCCAGUAUUUUUGUCUGGAAAAUUCCAGGGCAGGCUACAGUGCAGGGCGUCUCAAAGAGUUGGACCUGACUAAGCACACACACACACAAACACACACACCUCUAUCUGGACAUUUUUGGGAAAUGAGUCUGAAUCACGAUGUCAUCAGAAAACAAGCAGCACCUCAAAAAGGCAAUCAAGGGACUAGUUACAGAGGAGUGGGCAGGGCGAAGGGACAGUGAGACACCCAGGGACCAUCAGGAGGGGGAAGCAGGCACCCCCCAGGCCCGAGGGCACGGGGCAGGGAGUACUUACUAGGAACCAGUGAGAGGCACAAAGUGGGCACCCGAGUUGUGGCUUUAAAGUUGAGAACGAGCGACUGCCAAACCACAGGGUAAGAGGUGAACUAAUAUAUCUCAACCUCCUUCUCUUCCAUACUCCAGUCUCUUGGAGGCGAUUCUACUGGUCAGUCCCAACUGGAGGCCACCAGGCUGUAGGUCAGUCUCCCCAGAUAUGCAGAGGACGGGAGAGAAUGGGACUGGAGAGAAAAAUGGAGACUAGGCAGCACAGACAGGUUUGCACCAAGCUAAUCAUCAGUUGAUUGGCGACACACUUGUAUUCAUCCUUGUCUCUCACACAUGGGCCUCUGUAAGCAGUUGCCUAGGGAAAUGUACGAACAUGGCCUUGUAGUCAGAGACCUGAGUUAGAAUCCAAACCAGCUGCACAAUCUUAAGAAAGUAAUUUACUCUGAGUCUCU
This 1570-nucleotide long non-coding RNA is filed under the name Capra hircus (goat). RNAcentral's name for it is "lncRNA (ENSCHIG00010007727.1)". The record is from RNAcentral. Lineage: Eukaryota; Metazoa; Chordata; Mammalia; Artiodactyla; Bovidae.